UAGUGUUAGCUUUUCUUCAGCAUAGAUAACUGGAGGAAUAAGGGCUGGGUAAGACGGGUGCCAGCCGCCGCGGUAAUACCUGCAGCCCAAGUGGUGGUCGAUAUUAUUGAGUCUAAAACGUUCGUAGCCGGUUUAAUAAAUCCUUGGGUAAAUCGGGGGGCUUAACCUUCCGAAUUCCGAGGAGACUGUUAAACUUGGGACCGGGAGAGGCAAGAGGUACUUCUGGGGUAGGGGUAAAAUCCUGUAAUCCUAGAAGGACCACCGGUGGCGAAGGCGUCUUGCUAGAACGGAUCCGACGGUGAGGGACGAAGCCCUGGGGCGCAAACGGGAUUAGAUACCCCGGUAGUCCAGGGUGUAAACGCUGCAGACUUGGUGUUGGAGGCCCUUCGGGGGCAUUCAGUGCCGGAGAGAAGUUGUUAAGUCUGCUACUUGGGGAGUACGUCCGCAAGGAUGAAACUUAAAGGAAUUGGCGGGGGAG
RNAcentral lists this ribosomal RNA (478 nucleotides) under uncultured euryarchaeote. RNAcentral describes it as "bacterial SSU rRNA". It matches the Rfam family "Archaeal small subunit ribosomal RNA", at positions 398 to 876 of the family's 1478-position model. Lineage: Archaea; Methanobacteriati; Methanobacteriota. The record is from RNAcentral.